UACGUAGGGUGCAAGCGUGAAUCGGAAUUACUGGGCGUAAAGCGUGCGCAGGCGGUUAUAUAAGACAGAUGUGAAAUCCCCGGGCUCAACCUGGGAACUGCAUUUGUGACUGUAUAGCUAGAGUACGGUAGAGGGGGAUGGAAUUCCGCGUGUAGCAGUGAAAUGCGUAGAUAUGCGGAGGAACACCGAUGGCGAAGGCAAUCCCCUGGACCUGUACUGACGCUCAUGCACGAAAGCGUGGGGAGCAAACAGG
RNAcentral lists this ribosomal RNA (253 nucleotides) under uncultured bacterium. RNAcentral's name for it is "partial 16S ribosomal RNA". It matches the Rfam family "Bacterial small subunit ribosomal RNA", at positions 524 to 776 of the family's 1533-position model. The record is from RNAcentral.